RNAcentral lists this small RNA (425 nucleotides) under Arabidopsis thaliana (thale cress). Its description in RNAcentral is "ATSL101580". Lineage: Eukaryota; Viridiplantae; Streptophyta; Magnoliopsida; Brassicales; Brassicaceae. The record is from RNAcentral.
AAAUCUUCUUCCAGGGUUAUCGUUAGUCCAGCUUUUCACCACUGUCGUAGCUCUGCCGCAGUUGCAAAGAGGACCCCAAUUCCGGCUCAACGAGUUUGCAUCAGAUCCAGAGCUAUGGCUCACCAUCAUUCAAUUUUUCUGAGCAAAAGAAGAAAACUGAAAUUAGGGCAAUAAACAUUCACGAACACAGAGACUUAAAGGGAAAACAAAUGAGGGUACUGUAGUCUUUUAGUUAGUCAAUUAAACCGCGGAUUGUUAACCAUUAACCUCGGUUUAGUGAUUCCGUCAGUCAAAUUAACGUCUGUUAACGCGCAUGUAUGAUUUAACCACGAACAAUUAGAUUGUGUUUUUCUUGAACGACAUUUAUUAUUUUGGGAUUUUAGGUUCCAAUCAAAAACAAUUGGGUAUUAAAGUUUCAAAUAAAA